CAGUCGCCGCGGGAAUACGGAGGGAGCUGGCGUUGUUCGGAAUUACUGGGCGUAAAGCGCGCGUAGGCGGUUACUCAAGUCAGAGGUGAAAGCCCGGGGCUCAACCCCGGAACUGCCUUUGAAACUAGGUAACUAGAAUCUUGGAGAGGUCAGUGGAAUUCCGAGUGUAGAGGUGAAAUUCGUAGACAUCGGAAGGAACACCUGUGGCGAAAGCGGCUCACUGGACCAUUACUGACGCUGAGGCGCGAAAGCUAGGGGAGCAAACGGGAUUAGAUACCCCGGUAGUCCCUGUCUCUUAUAC
Molecule: ribosomal RNA, 301 nt
Filed under: uncultured bacterium
Lineage: Bacteria
Description: partial 16S ribosomal RNA
Rfam family: Bacterial small subunit ribosomal RNA
Source: RNAcentral